This 440-nucleotide ribosomal RNA is filed under the name uncultured bacterium. RNAcentral's name for it is "partial 16S ribosomal RNA". It matches the Rfam family "Bacterial small subunit ribosomal RNA", at positions 338 to 795 of the family's 1533-position model. The record is from RNAcentral.
CCUACGGGUGGCAGCAGUGGGGAAUAUUGCACAAUGGGGGAAACCCUGAAGCAGCGACGCCGCGUGAGGGAUGAAGGUUUUCGGAUCGUAAACCUCUAUCAGCAGGGAAGAAAAUGACGGUAGCUAACGAAUAAGCACCGGCUAACUCCGUGCCAGCAGCCGCGGUAAUACGGAGGGGGCAAGCGUUAUUCGGAAUUACUGGGCGUAAAGGGCGCGUAGGCGGUAUCGCAAGUCAGGUGUGAAAUCCCAGGGCUUAACCAUGGAACUGCAUUUGAAACUGUUCGGCUAGAGUGUGGGAGAGGUAAGUGGAAUUCUUGGUGUAGCGGUGAAAUCCGUAGAGAUCAAGAGGAAUACUCAUUGCGAAGGCGACCUACUAGACCAUAACUGACGCUGAGGCGCGAAAGCGUGGGGAGCAAACAGGAUUAGAUACCCGAGUAGUC